Molecule: non-coding RNA, 113 nt
Organism: Acanthosepion pharaonis
Lineage: Eukaryota; Metazoa; Mollusca; Cephalopoda; Sepiida; Sepiidae
Source: the annotation of a GenBank genome assembly
GGGAUUACGGCAACAUUGAAACACCAGUUCUUGUACGAUCCCGGAAGUUAAGCCAUGUCAAACCUGGUCAGUAUCUAGAUGGGUGACUACUUGGGAAUACUAGGUGCUGUAAG